UACAGAGGGUGCAAGCGUUAAUCGGAAUUACUGGGCGUAAAGGGCGCGUAGGUGGGCUGAUAAGUUAUAUGUGAAAGCCCCGGGCUCAACCUGGGAAUGGCGUAUGAUACUGUUAGUCUAGAGUAGAGUAGAGGGAAGCGGAAUUUCCGGUGUAGCGGUGAAAUGCGUAGAUAUCGGAAGGAACACCAGUGGCGAAGGCGGCUUCCUGGACUCAUACUGACACUGAGGCGCGAAGGCGUGGGGAGCAAACAGG
This 253-nucleotide ribosomal RNA is filed under the name uncultured bacterium. RNAcentral describes it as "partial 16S ribosomal RNA". It matches the Rfam family "Bacterial small subunit ribosomal RNA", at positions 524 to 776 of the family's 1533-position model. The record is from RNAcentral.